RNAcentral lists this ribosomal RNA (1325 nucleotides) under metagenome. RNAcentral describes it as "bacterial LSU rRNA". It matches the Rfam family "Bacterial large subunit ribosomal RNA", at positions 1578 to 2925 of the family's 2925-position model. The record is from RNAcentral.
AUUAGUAGAGAAGCGUGUGAGCCAGCUGCCAAGAAAAGCCGCUAUUGUUUCAUAAGUACCCGUACCGUAAACCGACACAGGUGGAUGAGGAGAGAAUCCUAAGGCCGGCGGGAGAAGUGUUGUUAAGGAACUCGGCAAAAUGACUCCGUAACUUCGGGAGAAGGAGUGCCACAGAGAUGUGGCCGCAGAGAAAUGGCCCAAGCAACUGUUUAGCAAAAACACAGGUCUAUGCAAAACCGGAAGGUGAGGUAUAUGGGCUGACGCCUGCCCGGUGCUGGAAGGUUAAGAGGAGAGGUUAGAGCAAUCGAAGCUUUGAAUUUAAGCCCCAGUAAACGGCGGCCGUAACAAUAACGGUCCUAAGGUAGCGAAAUUCCUUGUCGGGUAAGUUCCGACCCGCACGAAAGGCGUAAUGAUUUGGGCACUGUCUCAACAACACACCCGGUGAAAUUGAAAUACCAGUGAAGAUGCUGGUUACCUGCGCCAGGACGGAAAGACCCCAUGGAGCUUUACUCCAGUUUGAUACUGGGAUUCGGUACUGUCUGUACAGGAUAGGUGGGAGGCUAGGAAAUGGUGACGCCAGUUGCCAUGGAGCCAACCUUGGGAUACCACCCUUACAGUACUGGGUUUCUAACCUGCAGCCGUAACCCGGCUGGGGGACAAUGUCUGACGGGGAGUUUGACUGGGGCGGUCGCCUCCGAAAGAGUAUCGGAGGCGCUCAAAGGUUCCCUCAGAACGGUUGGAAACCGUUCGAAGAGUGCAAAGGCAGAAGGGAGCUUGACUGCGACACCGACGGGUGGAGCAGAUACGAAAGUAGGACUUAGUGAUCCGGUGGUAUAAAGUGGGAUUGCCAUCGCUCAACGGAUAAAAGCUACCCUGGGGAUAACAGGCUUAUCACUCCCAAGAGUUCACAUCGACGGAGUGGUUUGGCACCUCGAUGUCGGCUCAUCGCAUCCUGGAGCUGUAGCAGGUUCCAAGGGUUGGGCUGUUCGCCCAUUAAAGCGGUACGCGAGCUGGGUUCAGAACGUCGUGAGACAGUUCGGUCCCUAUCCGGCGUGGGCGUAGGAUAUUUGAGAGGAGCUGUCCUUAGUACGAGAGGACCGGGAUGGACAAACCUCUGGUGUAUCUGUUGUUUUACCAAAGGCAUGGCAGAGUAGCCAAGUUUGGCAGGGAUAAACGCUGAAGGCAUCUAAGCGUGAAGCCCCCCUCAAGAUAAGAUAUCCCAUCUUCGGAGUAAGACCCCUUGAAGACUACAAGGUUGAUAGGCUUCAGGUGUAAGUGCGGUAACGCACUCAGCUGAGAAGUACUAAUAGGUCGAGGACUUAUCA